This is a long non-coding RNA of Parambassis ranga (Indian glassy fish), 925 nucleotides long. NCBI's taxonomy places the organism in Eukaryota, Metazoa, Chordata, Actinopteri, Ambassidae. The record is from Ensembl.
AUGUUUCCAGCUCUGAUGAAGGCCUCUACAGCUGUGACAUCAGCGGUCAUGGAGUCUCCACCCAGCUGGAUCUCUGUCACAGCUUCACCCACUCCUCCUCCUCCUCCUCCUCCUCCUUCAUCGGCAUCCACCAGGUCCUCCUCCUCGUCCCCUCCUCUGUCUGUGCUGCUGUCUGUCCCCUCCAUGUCUGCUGUGGUGCUGCUGGUUGUCCUGGUUGUGCUGCUGAGACGAUGUGUCUGCAGGAAGCCUGACGGACUCGCAGUGUCGACUGAAGCAGAGGACGGUCCGGUUUCCUCAGCAGAACCAGACCAGACAGGAGACAGGGACCCAGCAGCACUUUACUCCAUCAGAAGAAGAACAGACGUCAUUUAUGGAGAAAUCAGCAUCAGGAGCAACACGAGGAGAGGUAACACACACACACACACACACACACACACACACUCUGUGACCACAACACUCUCUCUCUCUCUCUCUCUGUGUUCAGAGCUUCCAGCAGAUCCAGCAGUUGUGUACUCCACCCUGAAGCCCGCUCCUUCACAGCUGUGUGAGUCCUCCGAGGAGCCACAGAAACAAAGACACACACACAGCAUCAGAUGAGUGUGUGUUCAGCGCUCAGUGUGUUCAGUGUGUGUGUUCAGUGUGUGUGUUCAGUGUGUGUACAGUGUAACACCGUGUGCAGUCACUGCACCUGGAGGACGUCUGAACACCAUCUGUAUCUGUAACUGAACAUGUUUCAUGACAGGAACAAAUUUUAAAGUCAUAUUUCUCUCAGAACUGUGAGUCUGAAAAAUGUUUUUCUUUAAAUUUUUUUCAAGUCAAGUCAAAUCAAGUCAAAUUUAUUGUCUUAAAAUAUUUUUUAAAGUUGCUUGUAAUUCCUCAAAGAUUUCACAGUAAAUGUCAGGGUGGGUAGGGAGAGAACCAGCAG